Molecule: long non-coding RNA, 734 nt
Organism: Tyto alba (common barn owl)
Lineage: Eukaryota; Metazoa; Chordata; Aves; Strigiformes; Tytonidae
Exons: 3
Source: RefSeq, a predicted model, not a curated record
UGCACAGGAUGAGAACCAGGGUCACCUCUACUCUUAGUGCAGCAUCCUUUGGCUAGUUAAUUACAAAAUAAAGUAUUGUAAGGAUAUUGCACUAUUUCUGUUCAGUUGAAUUGCUCUAUAAAAAGCCUACGUGAUUUAAGUGAAAAAAAAAAAAAAAAAGGCAAGUUAUCAGUGGUUAAUCUGAACCUUCCUAUUGCCAUAGAUUUGAUAAACAUCUGUAGACUGUUACUGCCAGCGGAACUGAGCUGCAGGCAGAGAACUCCAUGGAAGUACCAGCUGCAAGUGUCUCUGAAAUAACACCUUAGAAAAACAGGCAGUGGGUGAGCUGCCCUAGUAGCUGCUAGAAGGAAGAAUGGGGGAGCACAACUUCUAUUUAUUUAAACCUUUGUAAUAACCCCACUACCAUCAAGGAAUACAGUUUCAUCUGCAGUAUAUUCCUCAGUAUCCUCAGUGACACUGCACCGUUCAUUCACAAUACCAAAUGGUAAAUGGAAAGCUUUCAGGAAAAAAAAUCACACAGAGAAUCACAGGAGAAUUGCUGGUUGCAUGGACAAUUUCUGACUUCGUUACUUCUAUCACUGCCUGCAAACUGGACAUAAUGAAAAAGCAGAAAACCUGUGAGCUGAUCUUACGCUGAAAGCAAGUCUCUUGUAGUUCUCAAGUUAGUUUGGAUAGCCCUCCUGCUACGCUGAUUUCUGGAAAAAAUGGCACCUGAGAAAGAGAGCCACAUGGAG